Molecule: ribosomal RNA, 427 nt
Filed under: uncultured bacterium
Lineage: Bacteria
Description: bacterial SSU rRNA
Rfam family: Bacterial small subunit ribosomal RNA
Source: RNAcentral
UGGGGAAUUUUGGACAAUGGGCGCAAGCCUGAUCCAGCAAUGCCGCGUGCAGGAUGAAGGCCUUCGGGUUGUAAACCGCUUUUGUCAGGGAAGAAACGAGUUUCUCUAAUACAGAGACUUAAUGACGGUACCUGAAGAAUAAGCACCGGCUAACUACGUGCCAGCAGCCGCGGUAAUACGUAGGGUGCGAGCGUUAAUCGGAAUUACUGGGCGUAAAGCGUGCGCAGGCGGUUAUAUAAGACAGAUGUGAAAUCCCCGGGCUCAACCUGGGACCUGCAUUUGUGACUGUAUAGCUAGAGUACGGUAGAGGGGGAUGGAACUCCGCGUGUAGCAGUGAAAUGCGUAGAUAUGCGGAGGAACACCGAUGGCGAAGGCAAUCCCCUGGACCUGUACUGACGCUCAUGCACGAAAGCGUGGGUAACGAACA